This 233-nucleotide unclassified non-coding RNA is filed under the name plant metagenome. RNAcentral describes it as "partial contains small subunit ribosomal RNA, internal transcribed spacer 1, and 5.8S ribosomal RNA". The record is from RNAcentral.
UUUCCGUAGGUGAACCUGCGGAAGGACCAUUAUUGGAUUUUGAAACUUCAGGCUGCUGCUGGCUCUCCUCGGAGGGCAUGUGCACGCUAGUUGUCCAUUAUUUCUCCCACUGUGCACAAAUUGUAGACCUUUCAGUAGGCCUAUGUUGUUUUUCACAAUCUCUGAAUGUAAUAGAAUGGUUUUGAAUCUUGGGAAAUACAAUACAACUUUCAGCAACGGAUCUCUUGGCUCUC